GAUGAACGCUGGCGGCGUGCCUAAUACAUGCAAGUCGAGCGAACGGACGAGAGGCUUGCUUCGCUGAUGUUAGCGGCGGACGGGUGAGUAACACGUGGAUAACCUCCCUAUAAGACUGGGAUAACUUCGGGAAACCGUAGCUAAUACGGGAGAAUAUUGUGAACCGCAUGGUUCAAAAGUGAAAGACGGUCUUGCUGUAACUUAUAGACGGAUCCGCGCUGCAUUAGCUAGUUGGUAAGGUAACGGCUUACGAAGGGAACGAUGCAUAGGCGACGUGAGCGAGGGAUCGGCCACCUUGGAACGUGGACACGGUCCUUGGUCCUAAGGGAGGCCCCAGUAGGCUAUCGGCCGCAAUGGGGGAAAGCCUGACGGAGCAACGCCACGUGAGUGAUGAAGGUCUUCGGUUCGUAAAACUCUGUUAUUAGUUAAGAACAUAUGUGUAAGUAACCGUGCACAUCGUGACGGUACCUAAUCAGAAAGCCACGGCUAACUACGUG
Molecule: ribosomal RNA, 497 nt
Filed under: uncultured bacterium
Lineage: Bacteria
Description: partial 16S ribosomal RNA
Rfam family: Bacterial small subunit ribosomal RNA
Source: RNAcentral